This 74-nucleotide small RNA is filed under the name Pedobacter sp. Hv1. RNAcentral's name for it is "Flavo-1 RNA". It matches the Rfam family "Flavo-1 RNA". Lineage: Bacteria; Pseudomonadati; Bacteroidota; Sphingobacteriia; Sphingobacteriales; Sphingobacteriaceae. The record is from Rfam by way of RNAcentral.
AAAUAGUCCUGAUUGUAGCGACAUCCUUUUUUGCCGUUAAGGUAAAAAAGAUACAGCGGAAAGCGGGGCUGGCA